CCUACGGGAGGCAGCAGUAAGGAAUAUUGGACAAUGCUCGCAAGAGUGAUCCAGCCAUGCCGCGUGCAGGAAGAAUGCCCUAUGGGUAGUAAACUGCUUUUGAACUAGAGAAAACCCCAGUACGUGUACUGGGCUGAUAGUAUAGUUAGAAUAAGCAUCGGCUAACUUCGUGCCAGCAGCCGCGGUAAGACGAAGGAUGCAAGCGUUAUCCGGAUUCAUUGGGUUUAAAGGGAGCGUAGGUGGACUGAUAAGUCAGUGGUGAAAUCUCCGAGCUUAACUCGGAAAUUGCCAUUGAUACUGUUGGUCUUGAGUACAGUUGCUGUGGGCGGAAUAUGACAUGUAGUGGUGAAAUACAUAGAGAUGUCAUAGAACACCGAUUGCGAAGGCAGCUCACAAAGCUGUAACUGACACUGAGGCUCGAAAGUGGCGGGAGUACAACAGAUAGUAUACCUACGUAGUCGCACCGUAACGAUAGUAUACUCG
RNAcentral lists this ribosomal RNA (483 nucleotides) under uncultured bacterium. RNAcentral's name for it is "bacterial SSU rRNA". It matches the Rfam family "Bacterial small subunit ribosomal RNA", at positions 338 to 819 of the family's 1533-position model. The record is from RNAcentral.